UCGCCGCUCGCGACUCGGCGAGAAGUCCAUUGAACCUUAUCAUUUAGAGGAAGGAGAAGUCGUAACAAGGUUUCCGUAGGUGAACCUGCGGAAGGAUCAUUG
This 102-nucleotide ribosomal RNA is filed under the name Erycina hyalinobulbon. Its description in RNAcentral is "partial 18S ribosomal RNA". It matches the Rfam family "Eukaryotic small subunit ribosomal RNA", at positions 1726 to 1831 of the family's 1831-position model. RNAcentral also lists the same sequence under 4 other names. Lineage: Eukaryota; Viridiplantae; Streptophyta; Magnoliopsida; Asparagales; Orchidaceae. The record is from RNAcentral.